UGAGCGGAAGAAAAGAUUUCUCAGCUGCAAAAUACUCAGUAACACUCCUGAUCAACAUUGGCUCAGUGCAGCCCAAAAUCCUGAGACACUGGGAAGAGACAGCUUGGAGAAUCCCUAGUCAUUCACUGGGGUUUUCAAUUUAUUCUUUGCAGCCAGACAGUGCUCCCGUUGCCGGCUUGCGGGCUCAGCAGCCAACUCUCCCCCACUGCUGCCAAUCAAAGGGGCGCUGCUGAAGCGGGGCUGCUCCUGCAAUAAAAGUGUAGGAAGCUUAUGGCUGCAGAGUAAUGCAGACAAAGCACGAGUGAGAGGGAGACAAAAGGGAUGGAGUCUGAGAUGAUGUGAUCCACCCCGUUAAAGGAACCGUCCGUAGCCUCUGCAGCCGUGUUUAUGCUGCUUCACGCGAUAGGCACCAGCCUCUCAUCCCCCCGGGAGAUUUUUACAGCAUUAAUUCACUCUGCACAAAACCCAGCCUGCAAGGCUCCUCUCCAGCAGCGACCUUUUCAUCCCUCCAGCUCCCCCCAUUCCCGAGAGCCCUGCCCGCAGGAGCUGCACCCCUCCGGCUGACCUCCCAUCGCUCUCGAUCAAAUGUCACCUGUACCCAAUGAAGCAGACCCCGAAGUGCCACGAAUGGAUCCCAGGAUUCUUAUUUUCCUGCUCUACGUGAUGAUCCUUCACGAGCUGGUGAGUGGCUGGAUGGAGUACCAGAAGCAGAUAGCCAAGCCAAAGAAGCAGGCGGGUCCGGUUUGGUCUUCUAGCAACACCACCAGAUCAAACCACUCCAGCUUCUCCAGGCCUCUGGUCCACUCGGUGCGCAGGGAGAGGUACAGGGACUGGAGGAAGCCAGGGCGGAUCAUCCGGAAAGCGUGAGAAUGCAUCUGCUGGGGAGAGUGGGGAGAGAUUACUGAGCCAGAGGCAACCAUCCCUCACGAGGGCUGCACCGACUUACCACCUUGCAGCAGCAGCCGGCAUGAGAGCAUCCUCCAGGUACCGUGACCUGCAACGUGCAGCUUUAUUCUCUUCACUGAGCCUGGCACAACCAAGAAGUGAAGCCUUUCCUCCUGGGAACUUGUCCCUGUGUGGUGAGGAACCAGGGUGGGGACGUGUCAGCCAGCAGUGGGAUCACUGGAGAUGGGACGAGGCUUUUGCCACCCAACACAGCAAAGUGACUUUUCUUUCUUCUUCCCAAAGGGUUCAGUAGAUGGAGAGUACAUUUCCUGGGGGAAGAAUGAAAUUUGCUCCUGCAUGGGCAACCCAGGGAAGCCUCCAAAUGGUUUCAGGCUCCUCUCUUCGCGCUCGAGGACUGCGUGGCUGAUAAGCAGCAUCUCCCAAAGUGACUGGGAAAUCUUUGGUGCCCAGUUUGUCACCAUUCCCAGGAGAAAUUGCCUCCACUGGGGCAUCCAGAGGUCACGACACUUUGGAAAUGCUGGUUCCCAGUUAAGUGUCAUGCAGUGGGAGUCUGUAAAUUUUUUUCUGUUUUUCUUCUCCCUUGUUAAAUGAGUUACUCCAGGGUGGGAGGGGGAAAGCGCCCUGAACCGGUGACUCAGAGUUAUGCCACCGAAUGCAAUUUACUGCAGUGACCUUGUAAUUAGCUUUCUUUGGAGCAUUCCCAGCAGUCAAGCCAAACAUAAGAGCGACUUUCUAAUGAGCAGAUAGAUGGGAAAGGAAUACAAUAUUGCUCUUUUAUUAGAGUCUGCGGUUUCAGCAUAAAAUUAGGUUUUAGAGGCAAAAGUCAAUCGUUGCGUCCUGCCACCCCACGGAGCAGCUGCGCGCAGGAUGGGAGUCGCUAAGCGCUGGAGGGAUUCUGACACUGAGCUCUAACAGCAACUGUCCAUGGCAAAACUCCCUGCCUUAUUUGCUGAACAUAAUGUUUGGCUCAAACGCAGCCUGUUUUUCUCGUUGCCAACCAUUUAUGAACCUGACUCAGGCUCACAGAUGCAUUAUCCAGAAGUAGAUAGGGAAGGGAGUCGGAAUAGAUUAUGCAUUCAUUAUCCAGAAGUAGCCACCAGAUACAUUUGCACAUUUGUCUGCUUCUCAGUUGUUUGCAAAAUGUUCCUGUCGGUUGACACUGUGUUUGUUCAGUCACUCAUGGCAGGAAUCACCUGGCCCAAGGUAGGCACAUGAGGGGCUGUGAUUAGUCUCCUCCAAAGUUAAACAUCAAAAGAAAGCUGGCUGAACCGUGCUCUUGAAGUGCCUGAUGCUCUAUCCCAGGCAAGCUGGAGAAGUAAUUCAGACGUAGACCUCUACGGUUAGGGGAGGUGAAGCUCAUGCUUUGUGUUCAGAUAUUUUUGACAAAGGAGAUAGGAGUAGCAAUUAACACUUUCUGCACAUUUCAAAGCAUAAACUCACUGCAAAGAUGCGCCUCAGCUCUGUGACGCUGUGGCUAUUUCCCGAGGCGUCCACUGCCUAUCCCAAUACAUGCAGGUACAUCCAAAACUAACAGAGCAACAAAUGGAGAAAGUGUCAGGAGAAAAAAUAUUCAGAAAGCGUUUCUGGGUGGUUUCCUAGAGCUGACUCUGCCCUGGUCUUACGGGGGACGCGCAGCUGGAUGAUCUCCCUGCUUUUCUGCUACAGUGUAUGUGAAUUUGCUGGGAGCACUUGCUAUGCAAAAAGUGUUUAAAUUAAUUACCGAGGUGGUACUGGAUAAGACUGGCUUCACUGCACAAGCUGGGCUCCCAGCCUCAACAGGACGGAUGAACCUGAACAGGGACCUGAAUUGGGCAGGUGGAUGUCCUGACUGCUGCGCCCUUAAGGAACGGUGAAGGGACAGGAAUGCCUUGCUCUGCUGAUCACAUGCUGGAUUUAUCCCUGUAAAUAUCAUCAUGUUUACUUCCAAUAAACUCUUUUUUAUAUAUGG
This is a non-coding RNA of Phalacrocorax carbo (great cormorant), 2854 nucleotides long. The record is from RefSeq and is a predicted model, not a curated record. Lineage: Eukaryota; Metazoa; Chordata; Aves; Suliformes; Phalacrocoracidae.